RNAcentral lists this long non-coding RNA (1139 nucleotides) under Vigna radiata. Its description in RNAcentral is "long non-coding RNA (VRAD_LNC013716)". The record is from RNAcentral. Lineage: Eukaryota; Viridiplantae; Streptophyta; Magnoliopsida; Fabales; Fabaceae.
GAGAAUUGGUUCACCAACACCCUGAUGUGAAAAGUGACAAACCCUAACCUGGCACAUCAACGAAAUUCAAAAUUAGGUUAUGGUUGUCAAGACUAUCAAAGCAAACAAAGCUCUUACAGUUGGUGACAAAGGAAAUUUGUGAGAUGUUGUUUGUGUCAUGAAGGAAGGAGGAACACCAACAUAAAAUUUCAAUACCUACUGAUGUGUGUUUGGGCUUUACCGGGUCAAGCUAAUGACGUUAACAAAGCGCUUGCUGGGAGGCAACCCAGUUUCUGAAUUUUUUUAUCUUCAAUUUCGUUUUGAUUUUAUUUUAUUUUAUUUUAUUUUUAUUUCAUUUUAUUUGAUUUUUUUUAUUUCAUUUUAUUUGAUUUGGUUUUAUUUUAUUUUAUUUUAUUUUAUUUAUCUUUUUUGGGUUAUGCGUUGCUUCUGAUGGCAAUGAUGAUAACAUCUCCUGAUGGAUGCUUCUACAACAUCUAUUGAUGGAUGUUAGGUGAUAUGGCAUUUACUGAUGGAUGCCAAUGAAGAUUAGAAAGAUUAGCAUUUACUGAUGAAUGCUACCGAGAUAGCACCUACUGGGGGAUGUUAGAAGAUAUAGGUAUCCACUGAAGGAUAUCCGGAAGGUACACCUACUGAUGGGUGGUGGAAGGUAGUGCACUUACUAACAAGUGCCAACCAGGUUUGGGUCAGGCUCGUAACGUUAAACAAGCGCUACUAGGAGGCAACCUAGAUUUCUUCUUACACUUUUUGCAUUUUAAAUUCGUAGAAUAGGUUGAAUUUUAAUUUUGGUGUGUAUUCUUGGCUUUAUUACUUGCUCUGAAAAUGUUUGACUAACUAAUUUGCAUGAUGGAUCUAUUUGAUGUGGAAGAGAAGUGAGUUAUAAUGCAUGUUGAUAUUUUUUGAAAUAGAUGUGUAAUGAAUCUAUGAUUGUGGUCAUGAUGCUAGGCAGGAUGUACGAAUGAAUUUUGUGUGAGAAAGCAUGUGUGUGAGAUUUUGAGCUUCAGAGUUUUUAUUGUUGUAUGCAUUGUUCACAGGAAAACAUUGAUGAUAUUGCCUUAAUCUUGAUAAUCGAUUGAAUUGCAUGUGAAUGUCAUAUGAUCAAGGCCAUUUUUUUUGAAAACCCUUCUCUAGCCAACUUUUCA